GAGUUUGAUCCUGGCUCAGAACGAACGCUGGCGGCGUGCCUAACACAUGCAAGUCGAACGUGAUCCAGAGCUUGCUCUGGUGAAAGUGGCGCACGGGUGAGUAACGCGUGGAUAACCUACCCUGGUAUCCGGGAUAACAUUCCGAAAGGGGUGCUAAUACCGGAUAAGCCCACGGGCUCCUUGGAGCUUGCGGGAAAAGGUGGCCUCUAUUUAUAAGCUACUGUAUCAGGGUGGGUCCGCGUACCAUUAGCUAGUAGGCGGUGUAACGGACCACCAAGGCGACGAUGGUUAGCUGGUCUGAGAGGAUGAUCAGCCACACUGGAACUGAGACACGGUCCAGACUCCUACGGGAGGCAGCAGUGGGGAAUUUUGCGCAAUGGGGGAAACCCUGACGCAGCAACGCCGCGUGAGUGAUGAAGGCCUUUGGGUCGUAAAGCUCUGUCAGAGGGGAAGAAAUGAUAUAGUGCUAAUACCACUUUAUCUUGACGGUACCCUCAAAGGAAGCACCGGCUAACUCCGUGCCAGCAGCCGCGGUAAUAC
This 540-nucleotide ribosomal RNA is filed under the name uncultured Geobacteraceae bacterium. Its description in RNAcentral is "bacterial SSU rRNA". It matches the Rfam family "Bacterial small subunit ribosomal RNA", at positions 9 to 526 of the family's 1533-position model. The record is from RNAcentral. Lineage: Bacteria; Pseudomonadati; Thermodesulfobacteriota; Desulfuromonadia; Geobacterales; Geobacteraceae.